Molecule: transfer RNA, 58 nt
Filed under: Dipodomys ordii (Ord's kangaroo rat)
Lineage: Eukaryota; Metazoa; Chordata; Mammalia; Rodentia; Heteromyidae
Rfam family: tRNA
About the family: Transfer RNA (tRNA) molecules are approximately 80 nucleotides in length. Their secondary structure includes four short double-helical elements and three loops (D, anti-codon, and T loops).
Source: Rfam by way of RNAcentral
UGGCUCAGUGGUAGAGUGUUUGCCUUGCAUGCAUGAGGCCCUGGGUUUGAUUCCCCAG